RNAcentral lists this ribosomal RNA (492 nucleotides) under uncultured bacterium. RNAcentral describes it as "partial 16S ribosomal RNA". It matches the Rfam family "Bacterial small subunit ribosomal RNA", at positions 29 to 507 of the family's 1533-position model. The record is from RNAcentral.
AGUGAACGCUGGCGGUAGGCCUAACACAUGCAAGUCGAACGGCAGCACAGUAAGAGCUUGCCCUUACGGGUGGCGAGUGGCGGACGGGUGAGGAAUACAUCGGAAUCUACUUUUUCGUGGGGGAUAACGUAGGGAAACUUACGCUAAUACCGCAUACGACCUACGGGUGAAAGCAGUGGAUCUUCGGACCUUGCGCGAUUGAAUGAGCCGAUGUCGGAUUAGCUAGUUGGCGGGGUAAAGGCCCACCAAGGCGACGAUCCGUAGCUGGUCUGAGAGGAUGAUCAGCCACACUGGAACUGAGACACGGUCCAGACUCCUACGGGAGGCAGCAGUGGGGAAUAUUGGACAAUGGGCGCAAGCCUGAUCCAGCCAUACCGCGUGGGUGAAGAAGGCCUUCGGGUUGUAAAGCCCUUUUGUUGGGAAAGAAAAGCAGCAGGUUAAUACCCCGCUGUUCUGACGGUACCCAAAGAAUAAGCACCGGCUAACUUCGUG